RNAcentral lists this ribosomal RNA (124 nucleotides) under Petromyzon marinus (sea lamprey). Lineage: Eukaryota; Metazoa; Chordata; Hyperoartia; Petromyzontiformes; Petromyzontidae. The record is from RNAcentral.
CUUCACUACCGUCAUCACCCUACAUGAUGUGCCUGAUCGCAUCAGACCUCAGGAGCUGAGCAAAGAGUGAGCCUGGUUUGUAUUUGGAUGGCAGACUGCCUGGGGACACUCGGUGUUGGGAGGC